RNAcentral lists this ribosomal RNA (223 nucleotides) under uncultured bacterium. RNAcentral's name for it is "partial 16S ribosomal RNA". It matches the Rfam family "Bacterial small subunit ribosomal RNA", at positions 524 to 746 of the family's 1533-position model. The record is from RNAcentral.
UACGUAGGGUCCGAGCGUUGUCCGGAAUUACUGGGCGUAAAGAGCUCGUAGGUGGUUUGUCGCGUUGUUCGUGAAAACUCACAGCUCAACUGUGGGCGUGCGGGCGAUACGGGCAGACUAGAGUACUGCAGGGGAGACUGGAAUUCCUGGUGUAGCGGUGGAAUGCGCAGAUAUCAGGAGGAACACCGGUGGCGAAGGCGGGUCUCUGGGCAGUAACUGACGC